Molecule: ribosomal RNA, 501 nt
Filed under: uncultured bacterium
Lineage: Bacteria
Description: partial 16S ribosomal RNA
Rfam family: Bacterial small subunit ribosomal RNA
Source: RNAcentral
AUUGAACGCUGGCGGCAGGCUUAACACAUGCAAGUCGAGCGGGGGAAGGUAGCUUGCUACCGGACCUAGCGGCGGACGGGUGAGUAAUGCUUAGGAAUCUGCCUAUUAGUGGGGGACAACAUCUCGAAAGGGAUGCUAAUACCGCAUACGUCCUACGGGAGAAAGCAGGGGAUCUUCGGACCUUGCGCUAAUAGAUGAGCCUAAGUCGGAUUAGCUAGUUGGUGGGGUAAAGGCCUACCAAGGCGACGAUCUGUAGCGGGGCUGAGAGGAUGAUCCGCCACACUGGGACUGAGACACGGCCCAGAGUCCUACGGGAGGCAGCAGUGGGGAAUAUUGGACAAUGGGGGGAACCCUGAACCAGCCAUGCCGCGUGUGUGAAGAAGGCCUUAUGGUUGUAAAGCACUUUAAGCGAGGAGGAGGCUACUCUAGUUAAUACCUAGGGAUAGUGGACGUUACUCGCAGAAUAAGCACCGGCUAACUCUGUGCCAGCCGCCGCGGUAA